Molecule: ribosomal RNA, 547 nt
Filed under: Stlengis misakia
Lineage: Eukaryota; Metazoa; Chordata; Actinopteri; Perciformes; Cottidae
Description: partial 16S ribosomal RNA
Rfam family: Bacterial large subunit ribosomal RNA
Source: RNAcentral
CGCCCAACAGCUAGCCCACCUAAACAAUUUCAACCUGCCCCUAUAAAUAACCCCUAAAUACCCCAGUAUUUAAACAAACAAACCAUUUUUCCCCCUUAGUAUAGGCGAUAGAAAAGGGACUCACGGCGCAAUAGAGAAAGUACCGCAAGGGAACGCUGAAAGAGUAGUGAAAUAACCCAGUAAAGCCCAAAAAAGCAGAGAUUAAAACUCGUACCUUUUGCAUCAUGAUUUAGCGAGUGUACCCCAAGCAAAGCGCACUUUAGUUUGACGUCCCGAAACUACGUGAGCUACUCCAAGACAGCCUAUUAAUAGGGCACACCCGUCUCUGUUGCAAAAGAGUGGGAAGAGCUUUGAGUAGAGGUGAUAAACCUACCGAACCUAGUUAUAGCUGGUUGUCCAAGAAAUGAAUAGAAGUUCAGCCUCUUGGCUUCUCUUUUCACCCUAGNUUACCCCCUACUGAUGCAAUAAAGAAACCGAGGGAGUUAGUCAAAGGGGGUACAGCCCCUUUGAGCUAAGACACAACUUUACCAGGAGGGUAAAGAUCAUA